UACGUAGGUCCCGAGCGUUGUCCGGAUUUAUUGGGCGUAAAGCGAGCGCAGGCGGUUAGAAAAGUCUGAAGUGAAAGGCAGUGGCUCAACCAUUGUAGGCUUUGGAAACUGUUUAACUUGAGUGCAGAAGGGGAGAGUGGAAUUCCAUGUGUAGCGGUGAAAUGCGUAGAUAUAUGGAGGAACACCGGUGGCGAAAGCGGCUCUCUGGUCUGUCACUGACGCUGAGGCUCGAAAGCGUGGGGAGCGAACA
This 250-nucleotide ribosomal RNA is filed under the name uncultured bacterium. Its description in RNAcentral is "partial 16S ribosomal RNA". It matches the Rfam family "Bacterial small subunit ribosomal RNA", at positions 524 to 774 of the family's 1533-position model. RNAcentral also lists the same sequence under 1 other name. The record is from RNAcentral.